Mizuhopecten yessoensis (Yesso scallop) is the source of this 510-nucleotide long non-coding RNA. RefSeq lists it as uncharacterized. NCBI's taxonomy places the organism in Eukaryota, Metazoa, Mollusca, Bivalvia, Pectinida, Pectinidae. The record is from RefSeq and is a predicted model, not a curated record. The transcript has 3 exons.
UGUGUACCUGUAUUCACAUGUGUCUGGAAUGGGUUAACACUGAGAGUCCCUGUUAACCAAUGAAUGUUUACUGUGAUUAACUUAUCAGGCUCCGAGAAGUGAGCCCUCCCCGAGAUACUGUCACAUGUUCAUAGUAUGUCUAUGAUCAGGAGUCAGGUAACAGGAAGGAAUACCUUCCACACUGAUAACUUAUAGCAUCAUUCAGUCACAACGUUUGCCUGGACAUAGCAGCACUUUCGUGACGCAGUCCCAGCGUGCCUAAAAAUAUUUACCUGACCUCAGCAGCACACGAGGCCUCUAUUUAGGUUAUUGUGCUGCCUUGGCCAUGUCACUGACCACGAAAAAUGUAACGACGGAGAAUUGCAGGGUCAAAAGACGGCUUGGUCUAUUAAGCUCCGUCUCUUUUAUCGUAGGUAAUAUAAUAGGGUCAGGAAUCUUUAUAUCACCCAGAAAUGUCUUGGCAAAAACCCAGUCCGUUGGUCUUUGUCUGGUCACGUGGGUAUUGUGUGG